UCGUAACCCUCUGUUACGCAGCGGAAAAUUUGUUGUCAACAAACUUAAAUACACCAACUGGAACUUUUAUUCACGUUGAGUGCGAUUUUUCGCAAUAUUAAAGCUGGCAAAAGUGAGAAACAACACUCCGCCAGAGAUCCAAAUCACCGCCGUGCAGCUGUUGCGAAAAACAAAGGAUCUAUUGCAACCGCCACCGAAGUAAAAAAGCGAGUGACAGCAGAAGAAUAAUCUGGAUAAUCUGCACAAUAAUUGGAUGGAUCAAAUAUUCGUAAUGGGAAAAAUAAGAAAAGGAGGUCCAGCGGGCUCGAUCCAUAUGGGAGCAUUCGGUAUUCAAUCCAGAGAGGUUUCCGCCGAGCGCUGUAAAUGAUUCACUAUUCCCUAGUGGGCCUACGAUUUGAUUUUUAUAUACAUAAGAGCCUACAUUUGUAGACUAGUGCCUUAGAAAAUUGACUAACUCUUCUGGAUGAUACUAUUCAAGAUUAUUACCACAUCGUGGUUGUACAAGUUUUUAUUUUCAAUUACAAUGAUUUUAUUAAUUAACAAUUGUAUCCAAUCAUUUAAGGAUUUUGCUGUUGUAGUGGCUGCUAGAAAAACCAUCGUCCGGUACUACUGUUACUAUGUAACGGCUUUGGUCAUACGGAAGCUGAUUUUGUGUCAUUUUCGGCGACGAGUGCUACAUGAUACAAUACUAAAAACCGGACUAGAAAAUAAAUUUGCGUAAUGAUCGCGAAUUCAGGUGUCAAAUGAGAGCUGUCGGUGUGAUCAAUAUUACCGCUCGCGAGAUUUUAAUAUUUAGAUACAAUCAACGGUUUUUAAAAACAGGCAUCACGGUAUGAUUUUUAAUUCUAAUCGAAUUUCUAAUAUCAUUUACUUAAAGUGUUAUGCAUUUCAAAAAACGAGCUUGCAGUAGGUCGGCAGCUCGUAAUGGUUUUCACAAAGCACCAAUUGACGAAAAAUUCUCCACAACGAACUGAACUACUUCCCGUGUCAACUCACCACCCAAUAAUUGCUCCGCCCGGAUCUGCUUCAUUAUUUCAUGGGUACUUUAUCAGUCGAGUCUAUUUUUUCCGCUGAUGUACAACUAGAGCUAAUACAUUUAAGUCAUUUCAAUAAUUUUUCACCAUUUGCAAAUUUUUUCGCCACCGACUGAUAUGGAAAGGGCCAUUCUGUUGUUUACGCAGUAAAGUUCAGUCAGAAAAAGAGCCAGCUCCAGUGACAUGACCGCUCAUUUUCUGUCUGGACUUACUGGGUACCUGGAAACGAUUCCGCCUUUGCCGUGAAAAAAUACAAUUUUGUCAAUCACGACGAAUCCAUGCACAUCUAACAAGAAUUUUCGUAUCGUUCUCAGUACGUGGUACUUGUAACACUCUCCGGUACACGAUAUUACCCAGAGAUUUAUUACAGCAAGCCUGUAGCCUAAAACUUGAAAAGGACCGAUUCUAACGUCUGAA
This is a long non-coding RNA of Topomyia yanbarensis, 1451 nucleotides long. RefSeq lists it as uncharacterized. The transcript has 3 exons. The record is from RefSeq and is a predicted model, not a curated record. Lineage: Eukaryota; Metazoa; Arthropoda; Insecta; Diptera; Culicidae.